This 219-nucleotide ribosomal RNA is filed under the name uncultured bacterium. Its description in RNAcentral is "partial 16S ribosomal RNA". It matches the Rfam family "Bacterial small subunit ribosomal RNA", at positions 122 to 334 of the family's 1533-position model. The record is from RNAcentral.
UAACCUACCACUCAGAGGGGGAUAACACUUGGAAACAGGUGCUAAUACCGCAUAACAGUUUAUGCCGCAUGGCAUAAGAGUGAAAGGCGCUUUCGGGUGUCGCUGAUGGAUGGACCCGCGGUGCAUUAGCUAGUUGGUGAGGUAACGGCUCACCAAGGCCACGAUGCAUAGCCGACCUGAGAGGGUGAUCGGCCACACUGGGACUGAGACACGGCCCAG